AUGAGCCUUUGCAAGCCGAACCACCUGCAGGAUCUUUGCAUUUCUAUACCGCCUUCUUCAGAUUACGACCAUCUGUACAGAAACAUGAAUGCUCUGGAUUGUUUAAUGUAUGAACACGGCAGCCUGAAAACUGUAAAACUGGUGGCUCAUAGAUCGUCGGCUAGCUAUGGUGACGCUUCAAGAGCAAGAGUUGGCUGGAUUUUAAAUAGACCCAACCACCAUCUCGAGAGAUUUGAGGUCUCAGCUUACAGCCCCGUCAUAUUUUGCAAAAUGCGUUUGUGGAAAAUCCAACUUGACAACCUAUGCAUUCUGAAGAUUGCAGUGGAUGGACUGUCAGUAAAUGAUGCUGAUAUCCUCAGAGGGUUGCCUGCCCUCACUGCUCUGUCGUUGUAUGUGGAGAAGUCACCUAAUAUUAAGAUAAUCUUUGGCACGGCUGCUGGAUUCACAGCUCUCCAGUACUUGAAGCUGAGGUUCAUGAGUGGAAUAGCUUGGCUAAGAUUUGAAGCAGACGCAAUGCCUAAUCUCUGGAAACUCAGGCUCGUUUUCGACGCCAUCCCCCAAAUGGACCAACGACUUGACCUUUAUUCGGAGCCUGGCCAGUGGAAACAAUAUCGACAUGGUACUGCAUUAAUCAGCAUCGACCAUAUGACAGGCCUUAGAGAGGUUUCUGCCAAAUUUGGGGGUGCAGCUGCUGAUCUGAAGUAUGUGUCAAGGAUCGGCGUAGUUAGUAAUCAUCCGAGCAAUCCUAUAAUUGACGUGCAACUGGUGGAUUCUGGUUCCCGUGGUGAUAAAAGGUAG
Molecule: ribosomal RNA, 798 nt
Filed under: Triticum aestivum (bread wheat)
Lineage: Eukaryota; Viridiplantae; Streptophyta; Magnoliopsida; Poales; Poaceae
Description: partial small subunit ribosomal RNA
Source: RNAcentral